GACGAACGCUGGCGGCGUGCUUAACACAUGCAAGUCGAACGGAAAGGCCCUGCUUUUGUGGGGUGCUCGAGUGGCGAACGGGUGAGUAACACGUGAGUAACCUGCCCUUGACUUUGGGAUAACUUCAGGAAACUUGGGCUAAUACCGGAUAGGAGCUCCUGCUGCAUGGUGGGGGUUGGAAAGUUUCGGUGGUUGGGGAUGUACUCGCGGCUUAUCAGCUUGUUGGUGGGGUAGUGUCUUACCAAGGCUUGGACGGGUAGCCGGCCUGGGAGGAUGACCGGAGAAAUUAGGACUGAGAUACGGCCCAGACUACAACGGGAGGCAACGGUGGAGAAUAUUGCACAGUGGGCGGAAGCCAGAUGCGGCAACGCCGCGUGCGGGAUGACGGCCUGCGGGUUGUAAACCGCUGUCGCCUGUGACGAAGCGUGAGUGACGGUAAUGGGUAAAGAAGCACCGGCUAACUACGUG
This 468-nucleotide ribosomal RNA is filed under the name uncultured bacterium. Its description in RNAcentral is "partial 16S ribosomal RNA". It matches the Rfam family "Bacterial small subunit ribosomal RNA", at positions 28 to 507 of the family's 1533-position model. The record is from RNAcentral.